This 465-nucleotide ribosomal RNA is filed under the name Modiolus modiolus (northern horsemussel). Its description in RNAcentral is "partial 16S ribosomal RNA". It matches the Rfam family "Bacterial large subunit ribosomal RNA", at positions 1923 to 2600 of the family's 2925-position model. The record is from RNAcentral. Lineage: Eukaryota; Metazoa; Mollusca; Bivalvia; Mytilida; Modiolidae.
GUUAACGGCUGCAUUAACGUGAGUGUACUAAGGUAGCGUAGUCGCUUGCCCCUUAAUUGGUGGCUGGUAUGAAUGGGGGCUUUGGGGGCCCUCUGUGUCGAAGAGAUACCUUUAAAUUUACUUGUGUGUGAAGAGGCAGACAUAAAAAAAAAGGACGACAAGACCCUAGAAGCUAGCCUUUAGUCUAAUUUGAAUGAUUAAUUUAGGGUUGUACUUAGGUUUUUUGAACAAUUGGGUGAUGGUUUGUUGGGGCAACAGAGUGUGUUUUAUUGCUGGUUUAUCAUUGUUUUACUGUCGUGUCUUAUCCAAAGUGUGAAAAUGAGUAGUUACUCUAGGGAUAACAGCGUUAUUUUUCUUUAUAGUCCGUAUAGAAAGAAAAGAUUGCGACCUCGAUGUUGGAUUAAGGUGUCCUGAAGGUGCAGAAGCCUUUUAGGGUUGGUCUGUUCGCCCAUAAAAACCCUUACA